This 391-nucleotide long non-coding RNA is filed under the name Elaeis guineensis (African oil palm). RNAcentral describes it as "long non-coding RNA (EGUI_LNC044622)". Lineage: Eukaryota; Viridiplantae; Streptophyta; Magnoliopsida; Arecales; Arecaceae. The record is from RNAcentral.
UCAAGACCUCUUUUAUGUGUAACCCAUAGGUUCUAUUAUAUAUGGUAGUGAGAAAUAUUUUGAUCUCCAUCAAAAUAUCAUUGAAACUUAUAGAUUGGAAUAAUUCUAACUCCUAAAUUGAUAAUUAUUGACCAUCAAAAUAAUUCUGGUUGGUCCCAUAAUCCAUCAGUGAUGCCUUGCAGUAUAUAGUAGCAACCUAAUAGAAUAGAAGAAUGAACCUCUAAGUAUAGUUAUCAUAUUAUUUAGUUCUUCUAUCAUGAGUCCCGAUAAGAUGGAGGUCAUGAAAAAUUCAUCAAAUCCCAUCAUCUGUCAUAUGUAAGAUUUAUUCGACUUGAGUUCAUUUGUGAAAUCUGAUGAAAACUCUUUUCUAUCAUUCAUAAUGCCCUGGCCA